GAUGAACGCUAGCUACAGGCUUAACACAUGCAAGUCGAGGGGAAACGACAUUGAAGCUUGCUUCGAUGGGCGUCGACCGGCGCACGGGUGAGUAACGCGUAUCCAACCUGCCUCUGACUAAGGGAUAACCCGGCGAAAGUCGGACUAAUACCUUAUGAGGUUUUCUGCAGACAUCUAAUGAAAACGAAAGAUUUAUCGGUCAGCGAUGGGGAUGCGUCUGAUUAGCUUGUUGGCGGGGUAACGGCCCACCAAGGCAACGAUCAGUAGGGGUUCUGAGAGGAAGGUCCCCCACAUUGGAACUGAGACACGGUCCAAACUCCUACGGGAGGCAGCAGUGAGGAAUAUUGGUCAAUGGGCGCGAGCCUGAACCAGCCAAGUAGCGUGCAGGAUGACGGCCCUAUGGGUUGUAAACUGCUUUUGUAUGGGGAUAAAGUCAAUCACGUGUGAUUGUUUGCAGGUACCAUACGAAUAAGGACCGGCUAAUUCCGUGCCAGCAGCCGCGGUAAUACGGAAGGUCCGGGCGUUAUCCGGAUUUAUUGGGUUUAAAGGGAGCGUAGGCCGGAGAUUAAGUGUGUUGUGAAAUGUAGACGCUCAACGUCUGACUUGCAGCGCAUACUGGUUUCCUUGAGUACGCACAACGUCGGCGGAAUUCGUCGUGUAGCGGUGAAAUGCUUAGAUAUGACGAAGAACUCCGAUUGCGAAGGCAGCUGACGGGAGCGCAACUGACGCUUAAGCUCGAAGGUGCGGGUAUCGAACAGG
Molecule: ribosomal RNA, 759 nt
Filed under: Prevotella melaninogenica
Lineage: Bacteria; Pseudomonadati; Bacteroidota; Bacteroidia; Bacteroidales; Prevotellaceae
Description: bacterial SSU rRNA
Rfam family: Bacterial small subunit ribosomal RNA
Source: RNAcentral